GCCUGGGUGGCUCAGUCGGUUGAGCGACUGACUUCAGCUCAGGUCAUGAUCUCACAGUUUGUGAGUUCGAGCCCCACGUCGGGCU
RNAcentral lists this transfer RNA (85 nucleotides) under Felis catus (domestic cat). It matches the Rfam family "tRNA". From Rfam's summary of the family: Transfer RNA (tRNA) molecules are approximately 80 nucleotides in length. Their secondary structure includes four short double-helical elements and three loops (D, anti-codon, and T loops). Lineage: Eukaryota; Metazoa; Chordata; Mammalia; Carnivora; Felidae. The record is from Rfam by way of RNAcentral. RNAcentral also lists the same sequence under 4 other names.